Molecule: unclassified non-coding RNA, 314 nt
Filed under: plant metagenome
Description: partial contains 5.8S ribosomal RNA, internal transcribed spacer 2, and large subunit ribosomal RNA
Rfam family: 5.8S ribosomal RNA (bases 1-105)
Source: RNAcentral
GAAACGCGAUAGUUAAUGUGAAUUGCAGAAUUCAGUGAAUCAUCGAGUCUUUGAACGCACAUUGCGCCCAUAGGUAUUCCUUUGGGCAUGUCUGUUUGAGCGUCAUUACAACCCUCAGCUAACCGCUGGUUUUGAACCUGAACGGGUGACACCGCGCCGGUUUUAAAGUUGUAAGCUCUGCUGGCCGCUCUGCUCAACCAGAACAUAGUAAGCACUACUUGUCCGGGUGAAGCUGAACGGUACGGCCUGAACAAAACCUACCCACUCUCAAGGUUUGACCUCAGAUCAGACAAGGAUACCCGCUGAACUUAAGC